GGAAGCUGUCUAAUCAGGAUGUGUAUCAUCUGUCACUCCACUGAUGGCCAAGGUUGAUUCAGCUGAUCUGACUGGCUAGGUGGGUGUCCACUUCCUCCCCCAACAGCCCCAGGUACAUCCCCUGUCCCUAAAACUGCAGACUUGGUGGAAGAGGAUGACCAACCCCUUAGAAAGGGGUUGGUUUUCCUCAGUCAAGGGUAUACAAGUAGCUUCACUCCCUGCAAGCUCUCAGGGAAGUGGCACAGUUCAUAACCAAGGGUGAGAUUUGCAAAUCUAUAAACAAUAAAGAAAUCAAUCAAGUCUACUAAAAAUAAAAAUCUUGGCUUAAGU
Cavia porcellus (domestic guinea pig) is the source of this 330-nucleotide unclassified non-coding RNA. Its record names the gene 7SK. It matches the Rfam family "7SK RNA". From Rfam's summary of the family: 7SK was discovered as an abundant small nuclear RNA in the mid-70s but a possible function has only recently been suggested. Two independent studies have found that 7SK RNA binds the CDK9/cyclin T complex (known as elongation factor P-TEFb). The record is from Ensembl. NCBI's taxonomy places the organism in Eukaryota, Metazoa, Chordata, Mammalia, Rodentia, Caviidae.